RNAcentral lists this ribosomal RNA (253 nucleotides) under uncultured bacterium. RNAcentral describes it as "partial 16S ribosomal RNA". It matches the Rfam family "Bacterial small subunit ribosomal RNA", at positions 524 to 776 of the family's 1533-position model. The record is from RNAcentral.
CACGUAGGGUGCAAGCGUUGUCCGGAAUUAUUGGGCGUAAAGAGCUCGUAGGCGGUCUGUUACGUCCGCUGUGAAAACCCAGGGCUUAACCCUGGGCUUGCAGUGGAUACGGGUAGACUAGAGGCAGGUAGGGGAGAAUGGAAUUCCCGGUGUAGCGGUGAAAUGCGCAGAUAUCGGGAGGAACACCGGUGGCGAAGGCGGUUCUCUGGGACGGUACUGACGCUGAGACGCGAAAGCGUGGGGAGCGAACAGG